AGAAUCACUGCCACCUCUGGAGGAUGACCAGCAUCUGGUCCACACUCGCCAAUCAUCUAACUUCUUCAACUUCAUUAAUCAGGAUUCUCUAGAAGGACAGAAUUAAUUUCUUGAGGUCUGUUGUGUACUGAACUGUCUAACAGCAGCUGCAGAGCCAAGAAGAGAAGGUGGGUUAGAAAGGUAGCUCUUGGGCAUCCUGACACAGAGUGGAGGAGGACUGCCCUGGUCAGCACCUGGAUCAGUGCUCACACUGAGACCCGAGGGAAAGGGUGAGGCCACAGAGAGUUCAGAGGAAGAACCAGGACACAGGCUUGCUGACAGUGCUCCAGAAACAAGCCCAAUGGUGGCAUGCCAGUUCAGCAUACUUCAACGUGUUCAUCUUUUCACCUGAAAGGAAAUAGGCCUUCAGAUUGACCCUGCUGAAUUCGGAACCGUUCCUUCACCACCUUCUCAGAUUCCAGGAGCCGAAAGUGCUUAUUAAAAACCUCUCAGUUGGAAA
This is a non-coding RNA of Rattus norvegicus (Norway rat), 499 nucleotides long. The record is from RefSeq and is a predicted model, not a curated record. NCBI's taxonomy places the organism in Eukaryota, Metazoa, Chordata, Mammalia, Rodentia, Muridae.